UACGUAGGGUGCAGGCGUUAAUCGGAAUUACUGGGCGUAAAGCGUGCGCAGGCGGUCUGCUAAGACAGGUGUGAAAUCCCCGGGCUUAACCUGGGAACUGCGCUUGUAACUGGCAGGCUUGAGUGUGGCAGAGGGGGGUGGAAUUCCGCGUGUAGCAGUGAAAUGCGUAGAGAUGCGGAGGAACACCGAUGGCGAAGGCAGCCCCCUGGGCUAACACUGACGCUGAGGCACGAAAGCGUGGGGAGCAAACAGG
RNAcentral lists this ribosomal RNA (253 nucleotides) under uncultured bacterium. Its description in RNAcentral is "partial 16S ribosomal RNA". It matches the Rfam family "Bacterial small subunit ribosomal RNA", at positions 524 to 776 of the family's 1533-position model. The record is from RNAcentral.